RNAcentral lists this ribosomal RNA (1251 nucleotides) under Dyella jiangningensis. RNAcentral's name for it is "bacterial LSU rRNA". It matches the Rfam family "Bacterial large subunit ribosomal RNA", at positions 1294 to 2527 of the family's 2925-position model. Lineage: Bacteria; Pseudomonadati; Pseudomonadota; Gammaproteobacteria; Lysobacterales; Rhodanobacteraceae. The record is from RNAcentral.
AUGCUGACAUAAGUAACGAUAAAGCGGGUGAAAAGCCCGCUCGCCGGAAGACCAAGGGUUCCUGUCCAACGUUAAUCGGGGCAGGGUGAGUCGACCCCUAAGGCGAGGCCGAAAGGCGUAGUCGAUGGGAAACAGGUUAAUAUUCCUGUACUUGGUGUUACUGCGAAGGGGGGACGGAGAAGGCUAUGUCAGCCGGGCGACGGUUGUCCCGGUUUAAGCGUGUAGGUGUGUGUUCCAGGCAAAUCCGGUUCACUUUAACACUGAGGCGUGAUGACGAGGCACUACGGUGCUGAAGUGAUAAAUGCCCUGCUUCCAGGAAAAGCCUCUAAGCAUCAGGUAACACGAAAUCGUACCCCAAACCGACACAGGUGGUCAGGUAGAGAAUACCAAGGCGCUUGAGAGAACUCGGGUGAAGGAACUAGGCAAAAUGGUGCCGUAACUUCGGGAGAAGGCACGCUGAUAUGUAGGUGAAGCCCCUGCGGGUGGAGCUGAAAUCAGUCGAAGAUACCAGCUGGCUGCAACUGUUUAUUAAAAACACAGCACUGUGCAAACACGAAAGUGGACGUAUACGGUGUGACGCCUGCCCGGUGCCGGAAGGUUAAUUGAUGGGGUUAGCGGCAACGCGAAGCUCUUGAUCGAAGCCCCGGUAAACGGCGGCCGUAACUAUAACGGUCCUAAGGUAGCGAAAUUCCUUGUCGGGUAAGUUCCGACCUGCACGAAUGGCGUAAUGAUGGCCAGGCUGUCUCCACCCGAGACUCAGUGAAAUUGAACUCGCUGUGAAGAUGCAGUGUACCCGCGGCAAGACGGAAAGACCCCGUGAACCUUUACUAUAGCUUGACACUGAACACUGGUCCUUGAUGUGUAGGAUAGGUGGGAGGCUUUGAAGCGUGGACGCCAGUCUGCGUGGAGCCAUCCUUGAAAUACCACCCUUUAAUGGCUGGUGUUCUAACGUGGACCCGUAAUCCGGGUUGCGGACAGUGUCUGGUGGGUAGUUUGACUGGGGCGGUCUCCUCCCAAAGAGUAACGGAGGAGCACGAAGGUUAGCUAAUCCUGGUCGGACAUCAGGAGGUUAGUGCAAUGGCAUAAGCUAGCUUGACUGCGAGAGUGACGGCUCGAGCAGGUGCGAAAGCAGGUCAUAGUGAUCCGGUGGUUCUGAAUGGAAGGGCCAUCGCUCAACGGAUAAAAGGUACUCCGGGGAUAACAGGCUGAUACCGCCCAAGAGUUCAUAUCGACGGCGGUGUUUGGCACCUC